UCCGUAGGUGAACCUGCGGAAGGAUCAUUAUUGAAUUUAAUGAGGGGAUAUUUGGUUGUAGCUGGCUCAUGAAUUUGGGCAUGUGCACACCUAUCUCUUUCAUCCACACACACCUGUGCACUUGUGAGGCAGAUGGGGAAUUUAUUGAUUGUUUUUUAAGAACAAUUGGUGCUGGACCCUCUGUCUACUCAAUACAUAAACUCAAUUUAUUUAGAAAUGAAUGUAAUGGAUGUAACGCAUCUAAUACUAAGUUUCAACAACGGAUCUCUUGGCUCUCGCAUCGAUGAAGAACGCAGCGAAAUGCGAUAAGUAAUGUGAAUUGCAGAAUUCAGUGAAUCAUCGAAUCUUUGAACGCACCUUGCGCUCCUUGGUAUUCCUUGGAGCAUGCCUGUUUGAGUAUCAUGAAAUCUUCAAAGUAAAUCUUUUGUUAACUCAAUUGGUUCUACUUUGGUAUUGGAGGUCUUUGCAGCUUCACACCUGCUCCUCUUUGUUCAUUAGCUGGAUCUCAGUGUUAUGCUUGGUUCCACUCAGCGUGAUAAGUUAUCUAUCGCUGAGGACACUGUAACAGGUGGCCAAGGGAAAUGCAGAUGAACCGCUUCUAGUAGUCCAUUGACUUGGACAAUAUUUUUAUGAUCUGAUCUCAAAUCAGGUAGGACUACCCGCUGAACUUAAGCAUAUCAAUAAGCGGAGGA
RNAcentral lists this ribosomal RNA (692 nucleotides) under Rhizoctonia solani AG-5. Its description in RNAcentral is "eukaryotic LSU rRNA". The stretch from base 249 to 402 matches the Rfam family "5.8S ribosomal RNA". Lineage: Eukaryota; Fungi; Basidiomycota; Agaricomycetes; Cantharellales; Ceratobasidiaceae. The record is from RNAcentral.